This is a non-coding RNA of Pelobates cultripes (western spadefoot toad), 82 nucleotides long. Lineage: Eukaryota; Metazoa; Chordata; Amphibia; Anura; Pelobatidae. The record is from the annotation of a GenBank genome assembly.
GAUUCCAAUUCUUAAGGCAAUUUAUUUGGACCAGGAACUUUGUAGUUCCUGGUCCAAAUAAAUUGCCUUAAGAAUUGGAAUC